RNAcentral lists this ribosomal RNA (432 nucleotides) under uncultured bacterium. RNAcentral's name for it is "partial 16S ribosomal RNA". It matches the Rfam family "Bacterial small subunit ribosomal RNA", at positions 29 to 506 of the family's 1533-position model. The record is from RNAcentral.
AACGAACGCUGGCGGCAGGCUUAACACAUGCAAGUCGAGCGAGACCUUCGGGUCUAGCGGCGGACGGGUGAGUAACGCGUGGGAACGUGCCCUUCUCUACGGAAUAGCCCCGGGAAACUGGGAGUAAUACCGUAUACGCCCUUUGGGGGAAAGAUUUAUCGGAGAAGGAUCGGCCCGCGUUGGAUUAGGUAGUUGGUGGGGUAAUGGCCCACCAAGCCGACGAUCCAUAGCUGGUUUGAGAGGAUGAUCAGCCACACUGGGACUGAGACACGGCCCAGACCCCUCGGGGAGGCAGCAGUGGGGAAUCUUAGACAAGGGGGGCAACCCUGAUCUAGCCAUGCCGGGGGAGUGAUGAAGGCCUUGGGGUUGUAAAGCUCUUUCAGCUGGGAAGAUAAUGACGGUACCAGCAGAAGAAGCCCCGGCUAACUCCUU